Drosophila simulans is the source of this 7424-nucleotide long non-coding RNA. RefSeq lists it as uncharacterized. The record is from RefSeq and is a predicted model, not a curated record. The transcript is spliced from 2 exons. Lineage: Eukaryota; Metazoa; Arthropoda; Insecta; Diptera; Drosophilidae.
UUUAAAUCUAUAUUAUUUUUUAUCAAUUGGCACCAUGCGAAAAAUGAUUGUUUUGCAUUGCCUUAACGUUAUUACUAUUUAAAUAAAGCUUAGAAAUAGUAAUAGCCGAAUCUAUGUAUGUGAAAUAUAAAGUACAUUACAGCUACUUUCAACUCAAAGCUAUGGAACCGUCGAGAAGAAAGGCUCAACAAUCUUAAGUCAUAGCGACUUUCAUCUUAAGGCUACACGAGUUUUGAAUUUAUGCCUUAUAAAGUAACAAGUAAUAAUAAAGUUACAAUCUUACUUAUAAAGUAUCAAGUAUCAAUUUCCUUAGCCCUGACUGCGGUAAUCCGAAACAAUUUCCUAACGAGAAAUGUACUUUUAUCUGGCCUCAUUUUCAUUACGCUAGUAGACCCCAUAAAACCAAAUUUUUAUGAUUCUUUGAACAUAUUAUCGAGAAAGUCACGCGGCUAUUUACCUGCAUCCAAAACCAUAGCUCAUCCUCCUUUUCUGACUUCACCAUUGCGGUCUGCAGUCUGUGAAGGCUCCUUAAUUCGAGAACCAAUCAGGUGGAUUCCAAGAGUAUACACCCCCUGUAGAUGUCAAACUCGCUGUGUAUAGAAAUUGAUCCCCUUAUGUUGCUCUUAUAAUAUAAUAUAUAUAAUAUAAUUUCGUUCGAUCUUGAUCGGGGUAUCACGACAACCGUUCCAAUUUGUUGUGAGUACUCAAACCAUUUACUGUGAAAUAUUUUAAUAACGAACUAAAAACAUAUAACUUCAAAUAAAACAUACAUAAAUUUAAAAUAAUUAUAAACAGUUAAAAAUGGAAUCAUUAGUGGCUUGUGAUUUGUGCAGCCAAUGGCAUCGAAAUUAUUGGUUUGAUUCUCAUGGAAGAGGAUAAGGAAAUAUCUAACCCCCCACCCCCCAGAAAAAAAAAUCGGCAUUAAUGAAUUGUAAUCCUCGCAAUUAUACAUUAAAUGAACUAAAAGCUCUGUGCGUGCAAAAAAAAACUUAAAAGUAGCGGCACAAAAAUCGAAUUGAUUAAAAGACUUGAAUAUAUUAAAUUUGAGUAUGGCCGCGUAUUGAAAAAAUAAAACAGCAAUGAAAAAAAUCAACGCCACAGAACAAACCAGUAAAUUGGACAAGGAUGCAAACAACUACAACGGAUAAGAAGAAAGUAGCGAAAACGAGACAGCAAGAGGCAGCGACAACGACGGCGACCCGUUGACGGCGACGUUUGCACAUACAUACAAAGGAAUGCAAGAAACAGAAGGUUCGCGAAAAGUAACGGGAUCUUGUAAAAUGAAUGUCAACAACAAAAAUGAGAUCGAGCAAUGUUCUGAGAGGCAGAUGGUGAGCGCCAGCAACAAUGAGUCCAACAAAUGUUUCGCGAUCCCGAUGGCUAGCAACAAUGAUCCUGAGAUGCAAAUGGCUGGCAACAAUAAGCAGGAACAAUGUUUUGAAAACCAAAUGAUGCGCAACAAAGUAACUACGCAAGGCGGCGAUGUUCAAAGACUGGAAAAUGAGUUGAAAAUAUUGAAGCUGCAAAAUGAGAUCGACCAAUCAAAAAAUCAAUCGACACAGACUCUUUCGAAAUUUUAAAGGAGAUCGUUAAUGGCGGAAACAAUUUCAAUGUUUGGCUAUCUCAACUUUUGAAGGUCCAGAAAAAUUUUAAGGUCGGUGACAAAAUGAUGCGUGCGCUGAUUCACUACAAAGUUAAGGGCGAUUAUGAAAUAUGGCUGUAUUAAAGCACAAGCGCUACCAUGGAGACAGCGGAUAAAAUGUUAAGCCACCUGGAGAAAAGGUUCGUAAUGUCCAAAGAGUCAAAGUGUGGCAGAAGCUACAGAACUGCGUCUAGAUCAAAGGUGAGGAGUUCUCCAAGUACUACAAUGAGAAGUGGCAGCUGGCAGAUAAUUUAGAACUGGCAGAAGAUGAAUUUUUGGAAUAUGUCAUUGACGACACGAUGUCAAUCUACGCAAUCUGGCUAAGUCGCGUUCGUUCCAGACCGGAUUGUAGCUUUUGGAUGCAUUCCGAAAUGUUGAGUUGGGCUACGUUCGUAAGCCCAAGUUACCAGAAGACCGUAGAGCAGGAGAUUAUUAGAAGCCACGAGCUAAUGCAGAGUGCUACAAUUGCCACAGUCGGGACCACCUGGCCAGAGAGUGCCGCAAGCCUAAGAGACAAUAUGGGGCUUGUUACGCAUGUGGCUUGCAAGGACAUGUGGCUAAAAAGUCCGACCAAUACAAGAAAUCGAAGGACGGAGACAACGAUUAUAAUGUCUCAUAGAUUCUGGCAGCCCGAUAAGUAUUAUUAAAAAACGUUUUAUACCAAGUCAAAUAAAAAUGGAAAUACCUCUUUAAGUUACGUUGGAUUAAAUUUAAGUAAAUUAUAAAUACAUGGAAGCGUAAAAUGUUCAGUUAAGUUCUCAAAUAAAGAUACUCCUAUGUUACUAUAUGUCGUGGAUGAUAAAUCUAUGGGAUAUGCUAUGUUAUUGGGAAGGGAUUUUUUAACAAGAGUAAAGGUAAAAAUUGUAAUUGAAAAUGAACAUGAAAAAAUAUCUGAAAUUAAAAAAGAUUCGAUAGUUGAAGAAAAUCAAAAUAAAAAUAAAGAAUUUAAAAGUCAUUAUGAGACAAACGCAGACGAACAAAAUAAUUUUAAAAAACAACUAUUAUUAAUAGAUUACUAUGAUAAUGAAAAGGUAUAUGAGAUAGGUUCACAAUUAAAUUUUAAACGAAGAUGCGAAUUUAUAAAUGUUAUUGCAGAAUAUUACAUUAAACCAAAAAGACCGAGUGAACCGAAUAUAAAAUGUGAAAUGAAGCCAAGGUUAGAAGAAGACGAGCCCUUUAGUUUUUCGCCAAGGCGCCAGGCAUAUGUAGAGAAUGAAAAAUUACAAGAAAUCCUUGAUGAUUAUUUAAAAGAUGGUAUUAUACGACAAAGUGAGUCUGAGUAUUGCUCGCCAAUUGUAUUGGUAAAAAAGAAAUUGGGUGGCAUUCGGAUGCGCAUAGAUAGGAAACUAAAUAGGAUCACGGUGAAAGUUAGAUACCCGAUGCCAUUAUUUUCAUUCAUUAGAUACCCUAGAAAACAAAGUUGUGUUCUCGAAGUUAGACCUGAAAAAUUGAUACUUCCAUGUUUAUAUGGACGAAGAAUCUAUAAAGUAUACAUCAUUUACCACGCCACUAGGAAAGUAUGAGUUCACAAGAAUGACUUUUGGGCCGACAAAUGCUCCGUCUGUUUUUUAAAGGUUCGUCAACAAAGUAUUUGACGACAUGAUUAGGGAAGAGAAAGUGAUAGUUAGUGAUUAUAGUGAUUAUCUCGAUGACAUAAUGGUAGCGAUUAUCAUAGUAUAUGAGCGAUUAGUUAAAAACAAAUUAGAGCUGCGAAUCGAUAAAUGAAUGUUUUUCCAAUGUGAGUUGAUAUAUUUAGGAUAUAUAAUAUCAGAAAAGUGUAUUAAAGCAGAUGACGACGGUGUGAAAGCAACUGAAACUUUUCCCGUGCCACAAAAAGUUCAUGAUGUUCAAAGUUUUUUGGGGAUGUGCUGUUAAAAACGCCCACAGAAUUGCAUUGCGAUGCUAGUUCGAUGGGUUUCGGAUCAAUCCUUUUGCAAAGGAAAGCAGAUGGUAAGCUACAUCCAAUUUUUUACUUCUCAAAAAGGACAACGGAUACAGAAUCAAGGUAUCAUAGUUUUGAACUGGAAACACAGGCAGUAAUAUAUGCAUUAAAAAGGUUCAGAGUGUACCUACAAGGAACUGAGUUCAAAAUAGUAACAGACUGUAAUUCCAUCACAAUGACGUUGAACAAAAAAGAGUUGAACCCAAGAAUAGCAAGAUGUGCCUUGGAAUUACAGAAUUAUUUAUAUAAACUAGAACAUAGAUCAGGAACUAGAAUGAAACACGUUGAUGCUCUUAGUAGAUGUAAUGCGAUUUUGGUAAUAGAGGAAAAUACGUUCGAGGAAAAUUUAGUUAUAUGCCAAAACAGAGACGAGAAGUUGAGAAAGAUUAAAGAAAUGCUAUGUAAAGAAGAAAGCGAAUUAUAUGAAAUGCGAAAUGGUGUGAUUUACAAAAAAGUAAAAGAUAACUUAUUGUUCCAUGUCCCGGAAGCUAUGGAAGAACACGUAUUGUAUAAAUACCACAAUGAGUUAGGCCAUGUAGGGAAAGACAAAGUUACGGAAAUGGUCGGUAAAAGUUAUUGGUUUCCAAAUGUUAGAAGUAAAGCAGAUGAACAUGUUAAGAACUGCCUAAAAUGUAUAGCAUUUCAGGGAAGAAAUGGUUAGCAAGAAGGAACUAUUAAUAUUGUACCAAAGUGAAAUACACCAUUUGAAGUCAUACAUAUAGAUCACUAUUGUCCGGUAAAUCAAAAGAAUUCUACCAAAAAACAUGUAUUAGUAAUUGUUGAUGGAUGCACAAAGUUUGUGAGAUUGUAUCCAGCGAAAUCCACAAACUCAAAAGAAGCAAUGGAAGCCUUUAGUGAUAAUUUUAGAGAGUAUUGUUUCACGACCUGUUCCAGACAGAGGGACAUGUUUUACAUCAGAUAUGUUCGAAGAAUUUUUGGAAUCAAGAAACAUUAAGCACGUCAAAAUGGCAACAGGCUCACCACAAGCAAAUGGACAAGUUGAGCGAAAAAAUAGAGUCCUAGGACCCAUGAUAAGUAAGCUCGUAGAUGUAGAAAAGAACGUACAGUGGCACAAAGUUUUGGAAGAAGUAGAGUAUGCAAUGAAUAAUACAAAGUUCAGAAGCAUAAAUGAACACCCAAGUAUAAUGCUGUUUGGAGUGAAUCAAAAAGGAAAAAUGCUAGCUUGCUUAAAAGAUAAUGUAUUGGAGUCAAGGAUAGAAAGAAAAGAAAUUAAUUUAGAGAAAAUUAUAAAAAAUGAAGAAGUUUCGCAGGAAAAAGUACAGAACUAUAACAAGAAAUAUGUUGACGCUAAACGAUUAAAAGCAAAUAAAUACAAAUUAGGAGACUACGUUGUGGUCAAGCAUUUUGAUUCAACAGUUGGAGCGUCUAGGAUAUUAAUAUCCAAAUAUAAAGGCCCCUAUGGAAUCGCCAAAGUACUAGAUAAUGAUAGGUAUUGUAUCAAAGAUGUGGAAUGUUUUCAGUUGACACAAAAACCAAACGAUGGAAUAUGGGCGGCUCAUAAUAUUAAACCAUGGCUUCGAGAAAAGAAUUCGGUGUCAAAUAAUAAAAAUACAGAUAAGUAAAAUGAUAAAGAAAAACAAAAGUCUAAAGUAAAUGUAAAAAAGAAAACCAAACAAAAUGUAACAAAUACUGAAAUAAGUAACGAAAAUGAAACAAAUGUAAUGAUUACAAGUAGAGCGGCGAGGACCGGGAGAUCCUAAUUAUCAGGAUGGCCGAGCUGUAGUAGUAGUAGUAGUAGUAGUAGUAAUUGUAUAUAAGUAUAGUAGUAUAAGCCCCAUUGCAUUAUUAGAAUGUGAGAAUUAAUUAUAAGAGUCGCGAAUGUAAAUAGUAUAUACACACGUGCUGAAUAAAUGUAGAGUCAGUCGUCGUUGAGCUGUCACGGAGAGCACACUAAAAUUGAUAAUAAUUUUACUUCGUUUAUUAUUGGAUACUCUUUAUUUUUUAAUAUUUUAAGAUUAAAUAUUUCUAUUCUUGUUAAUUGUAAACUGAUUUGAAAAUCUUAAAUAUAUUCAAGGAAGAUACUUAAAGAAUAUCUAAUAAUAAAAAGCCGAAUUUUAUGUAAUGAUUGUUAAACGAUGCUAUAUGUACAACUUAACGAAAGCGAAGGACAAAAAGGGGCUUCUUAAUUGCAGAACGAAAAGCAGAAUGCUAAGCCAAAGGUGAUGGUAGCUUUUCACUGGGUGUUAGCGUGGCAAAACAAUGUAUUUUCGACGAUUUGGAAGCCAUAGUUAACUUCUCCGACUUUCAGAUACCCGUUACUAAUCUAGUAGAAAUGCAAAUGGUGAAUAAAAUUUGAAAAAUUUAAAAGUUGUUUAGGUAGGUAGGCUUAUAGACGUAAGAGUGGGCGGUUGUAGGGCGUUAGAGUGGGCUUGGCAAAAAGAUUUUUUGCAAAUCUGUAUAAAUUUACAAGACUAAUAAAAAUGUGAAAAAAUAUCAACACGUUUUUCAACAGUGUGGGCGUGGCAGUUUUGUGCGGUUUGUGGGCGUUAGAGUGGGCGUGGCAACAUGGGCCAACAAGCGAGAGCUGCGUCUUUGGUAUAGAAGAUAAGAAGAAAACGAAUUGCGUACAAAUCACCAAACGACCAAUUUUUUUUUUUUACUUUUUAUAAAAUAAUUAAUAGUAAUAUGACUGAACGUUUUUCUAGUAUAUAAUAAUAUAAUGAUUACAUGUGCACAUAAUGUCGCAAUGUAAACAAUGUAGAGCGGAACGCAAAAAAUUGGCUUUGCCUUUCGUAAGACUCCGAAAGCUAAAAAUAUUCGCGUUUAAUAUUCAGUACACUAUUAUUUUAUUGAUCAAUGUAAAAAUUACAAAACUGGUAAAAUGGAAAAUAUUUUUAUUGAAAUUACUACGAUCAAAAAUUGUAUAGUUGAUAUAGAAAGAUUCCAUUUGCGAAAAACUGAGAAUAAAGAACUGAGAUAAAAUAAUGAAUAUUGAAAAAGUCACGUAAGUUUUUAUAGUAUGUCCAAAAUAACAAAUAUUUGUUUCUUGUAUACCAAAAAAAAAAAAAAAAAAAAAAAAUAACAUGACAUAGAUCAAAUUAAUAAAAAAAAAUCAAAUUAAUAAAAAUUAAUUAAAAAAAUAAUGUUAAAAAGGAAAUGAAAAGUAACGCGAAUUUAGUAAAUCCUUUUCAAAGGCAGGAUAAAAUUAAUUCAAUAUUGACAUAAACAAAAAUAACGUUGACAACAGCUUCGAGUAACAGUUAUUUGCUUCUGAACACAAGUCCUGUAAAAACUAUUUUACAAUAUAUCAAACCAAAAAGACAAGAUUUUAUAAAACACGAAAAUCAAUACAAAAACAUUCUCGUUAUUGUCUUAACACUACGACAAUUAAAAAUGUGAAAUCAAGGAAAUAACUUCGUCACAGAGACAAAAACGAAAGACCGGGUCUCGCAGCCGCCUAAAAAUGUUUUUUGUAAAUAUGACAACUUUGGAGACACAUGUGAUGUGCCUCGCAUUUCCUUGUUUCUCUCUUUUUUUUUUUUUUGGGUGUAGUUAUUUAAAAUUGUCCUUCGCGGACAAUCAUUAAAUUUGAGGACUAAACUUAACGGUAGAGAAUUAAUGGAUUACAUAAUUUGUUGCGAAAACUUUACAAUAACUGUCGAUAUUGUAUGUAUCAUCAUGUAUGUAUAUAAUUUAAUUUUAAUGUGCGUGUCUAAUCCCAGAGGGGUCCAAAGGGUGGGAUCGGUGCAGCCUCCUGGUGCGUUGACUGGAGUCCAGCAGGUUUUGUGCCAGGUUGUUUGGGUGGUCUUGAAGCCUCUGCAUGUACUGCCUGCUGCUUUUCUUAAUCUCAUCCUUCACCCAGGGGAAGCUGAGGACCUC